Non-coding RNA from Urocitellus parryii (Arctic ground squirrel), 443 nucleotides. NCBI's taxonomy places the organism in Eukaryota, Metazoa, Chordata, Mammalia, Rodentia, Sciuridae. The record is from RefSeq and is a predicted model, not a curated record.
UAACCACCAGCGCUGGAGCCAACUGGAUGUGGGGAGGCGGUGAAUUGCCAUUGCUCUGCAGCUGUCUUUGAGUUGGAUUUAUGGGACUGCACUGCCAUACCGCUGCCAUCUGUACAUAGCUCUGAGCCACUGUGGGAUCUGGAGUGACUAAGCCCCAACCACUGUGGCCUGGACUUCUCCCAUCACAGCCUUGACCACUGUGAGUUGUCCCUGUUUGGGAGUACACUUGUCACUGGACUAAACUGCAAGUUCUGUGAGAGCAAGGAUCAGGGCAACAGUGUGUCUCCAGCAUCAGAUGAAGCCCAGGUCUGUCCCAGAGGAGGUACCCAGUGAAUGAGCCGACUGAUGGUUCAUGAAGAUCCCAGGGAYUGAGCUCCCGAUCAAUCACCUGUAGACUCUCCUUCAGCUGCGGGAUGAGCAUCUUAUAGCGCUGCACAGGAUCG